UACGGGGGGAGCAAGCGUUGUUCGGAAUUACUGGGCGUAAAGGGCGCGUAGGCGGCCUGUUAAGUCGAACGUGAAAUCCCCGGGCUCAACCCGGGAACUGCGUCCGAUACUGGCAGGCUUGAAUCCGGGAGAGGGAUGCGGAAUUCCAGGUGUAGCGGUGAAAUGCGUAGAUAUCUGGAGGAACACCGGUGGCGAAGGCGGCAUCCUGGACCGGCAUUGACGCUGAGGCGCGAAAGCCAGGGGAGCAAACGGG
RNAcentral lists this ribosomal RNA (253 nucleotides) under uncultured bacterium. RNAcentral describes it as "partial 16S ribosomal RNA". It matches the Rfam family "Bacterial small subunit ribosomal RNA", at positions 524 to 776 of the family's 1533-position model. The record is from RNAcentral.